CACGUAGGGCGCAAGCGUUGUCCGGAAUUAUUGGGCGUAAAGAGCUCGUAGGCGGUCUGUUGCGUCCGCUGUGAAAACUCGGGGCUCAACCCCGAGCCUGCAGUCGAUACGGGCAGACUAGAGUGCGGUAGGGGAGACUGGAAUUCCUGGUGUAGCGGUGAAAUGCGCAGAUAUCAGGAGGAACACCUGUGGCGAAGGCGGCUCUCUGGGACGGUACUGACGCUGAGACGCGAAAGCGUGGGGAGCGAACAGG
RNAcentral lists this ribosomal RNA (253 nucleotides) under uncultured bacterium. Its description in RNAcentral is "partial 16S ribosomal RNA". It matches the Rfam family "Bacterial small subunit ribosomal RNA", at positions 524 to 776 of the family's 1533-position model. The record is from RNAcentral.